AUGGAAUAAGAAUCUAUACAUAUAAAUAUAUGGAUGAGCAAUGUAGGCAAGAUGCAAUAGAUGGUAUAAAAUGCAAUAUAUACAUAUGAGAUGAGUGAUGCAAGAUAUGUCAACAUUAUUAAAGUGGCAUUAUUAAAGUGACUAGUGAUCCAUUUAUUAAAGUGGCCAAUGAUUUCAAGUCUGUACGUAGGCAGCAGCCACUCUGUGUUAGUGAUGGCUGUUUUACAGUCUGAUGGCUUUGGUGGCCCAACACACUAUUAAGACACUUUAUGUUGAGGUUUCCUUAAUUUUUGUCAGUUACCUGUAUAUUCAUUUGUUAUAUAUGAUGUCCCCCAUCCUCUUCAUAAUGUCCCCUUCAUAAAGUAACAGACAGUAAGCAAACUGUUUGAUUCUGAGCAUUUAUUGACACUUAAAAUAUUCCUUUACCCAGACAAAUGGCACCAGGUGUCUACAAUUAAGACACAAAUGUUUGAAUUUCAAUUACACAUUUAAAAAGUACCUAUUUUCUGCCCAACAUGUAGGCUAAACUUUCCCUUUCUUCAAACAGGUCAAAGGGUGCUGCUGAAUGUUUCAUAGUAUAUUUUUAUCUUUGGGUGAACAUUGGACCCCAUAUCUUCCUCGUUAUGGAUGAACAUUGGACCCCAUAUCUUCCUCGUUAUGCGUGAACAUUGGACCACAUAUCUUCCUCGUUAAGGGUGAACAUUAGACCCCAUAUCUUUCUCGUUAUGGGUGAACAUUAGACCCUGUAUCUUCCUCGUUAAGGGUGAACAUUGGACCCCAUAUCUUCCUCGUUAAGGGUGUACAUUGGACCCCAUAUCUUCCACGUUAUGGGGGAACAUUGGACCACAUAUCUUCCUCGUUAUGGGUGAACAUUGGACCCCAUAUCUUCUACGUUUCAUUCUGAACAUUUUAAUAAAAACAAUGAAUGUCAAAUCAUAAAAAGGAACACAUAUCUUCACAGAUUUGACAUGUAUUGUAAAAGAUCAAAAACUAAGUCAACAACGGCCAGCAACCAAGGUUUUUGGAACAUUUGUAGAAUUCAGGGUUCACUUCACUGAACCAUCUUAGCCUGUGUAUCCCUCUCCCCCUCGUCAUUCACUAAACACUUGCAGAAUGAGAGGACCUCUGUUUUGAAAGCCUAUUUUGCACCAUCACCAGUGUACUUUCUGGUUUACUUGAAUAAUAAAUAGAGAAUUAAAAUGAAAUGCAAAAAUGUAAGUUAUUUAUGUUUAUUUGUACUGCCCAUAUUGCAAAUGUGCUGAUUGUUAUAAUAUUCAUGUAUACUUUUCCUAAUUGGAUAUUUCUGUGCUAGGUAUUAGCCACAUUUUGGUUUUCACAUGUUCACCAUCACCAUCAUCAUCAUCUCUGAAUUCCAUGAUGAACAAGUAGGCCUACCAAAUAAUACUCAGGGGGUUUAAUCAUCAUGUACACAAAGGAUGAAAAUAAUAAAUACAUAUUGCAAUAAAAUUGCUUUAAUUUUAGUGUUAUCUGCAUGCAAUACCACAUGCAGUUAGAGAGGGUUUGUGAGGAGAGGACCAUGAUCAUGCAUGACCACACUGCCACAACCAUAGACUGACCAUACUGUCACAACCACAGACUGACCAUACUGUCACAACCACAGACUGACUGUAUGACCACAUUACUGAGCGCUGAUGUUCUUAUAUUGACUAUACCAACUCUACCAUCGCUUCCAUCCCAUAAUCCUUCCUUCCGUAAACCAUAUUUCCACCCAUCCUUUCAGAUCAGUGAACAUUGAGGAUAGUUGAUAAUGAGGAGAUUAUAAAAGAACACGUCAGGGUUUCUACAGUUUAGUUAAACUGAAAUGUAUAGAGCUUCAAUUAACGCUGCUCUAUACUGGCACACAUUUAACUUAGAAAUUAUUUAUUACAAUACAUUCAUAUAAUCCCCUUGACACGACUUCCGCCGAAGUCGGUCCCUCUCCUUGUUCGGGCGGCGUUCGGCGGUCGACACAGGCAAUAUUACACCCCUCCACAAACAUUUAAAUGUUAUCCUUUUCACAGUGAACAUGGUUUGUUAAUCACAUUGAGGCGGGUUUAUGAAAUAGAAACGAACACAAAUUAAAAGUUGUAACAAAAGAUUGCUGUGCAAUUAAAAUGUGUUAAAAAUGUAAAUUGUGUUAAAAAAAUUUAAAUUUGUGUUAAAAAUGUAAACAUUUUAAAUUUGUAAAAACAAGACUGCAGAACAUGACAAGGGCCAAAUAUGAUGACUGGAGUAUCCUCUUUAAUUUCACAGACCAUUAAAAAUAUGCUUCUUUGUGUCCACCAUAGAAAAUAAAAGUACACAUGUCAAUAAAUGAAAAGGUUUUUGAAAAGUAAACUUUUCAUUUUGGAUGAGGACAAUGCUAGUAUUUCUUAUUAAGUAUCCUCACACAAAAACAUUUGUCAAAUCUACUUUGUUUUUAAAAAAGUAAUUCAGUCAGUAAAAUGCAAAUGUGGUAUGACACACCUUUUCAUAAGUAAUAAUCUUAAGUAAUUACAAGUAAUAGUCUUUAAUGCGUGUAUGUGCCCAUUAAACUAAACUGCUCAGAGAAAAGGCAGGCAUAAUAUACAUUGAUUAUAAAUGUAUGUUACUUGUAUCAUGAAAACGUUUCCUCAUAAAUCUACAAAAAAGAUACAUCAUGAAUACCUCUUACCAAAUAAAUUACACGUAUCCUUAAAUUAAAAAUACACUGAGUGUACAAAACAUUAGGAACACCUGCUCGUUCCAUGAAAAGACUGACCAGGUGAAAGCUAUGAUCCCUUAUUAGUGUCACUUGUUAAAUCCACUGUAGAUGAAGGGGUGGAAACAGGUUAAAGAAGGAUUGUUAAGCCUUGAGACAUGGAUUGUGUAUGUGUAUGCCAUUCAGAGGUUGAAUGGGCAAGACAAAAUAUUUCAGUGUCGUUGAACGGGGUAUGGUAGUAGGUGCCAGGCACACUGGGUUGAGUCACUGGCAUCAACAUGGGCCAGCAUCCCUUGUGGAACGCUUUCGACACAUUGUUGAGUCCAUGCCCCCGACGAAUUGAGGCUGUUCUAAGGGCAAAAGGGGGUGAAACUAAAUAUUAGGAAAGGUGUUCCUAAUGUUUGGUACACUCCGUGUAUGUAGACACAAACAUUGAGGAGUUGCUCCAGUACAUAACUGGUAAUAAAUAUUUAAUGCGGUUCAGAAGAAGUUCCUUACACCAAGAUCUUAGAACAAGGUGAGUGUUAGUAGCCAUUGGUCGAGCUCAGAGGGGACAAACUCAUCCAAUAACAUUGUCCCAAUGGCCCCUCGUCCAAACAUGGCGUAUCCUCAAGUUCCAUACUGAUCUGAUACCCGGUACAUACAAUUAAUUCCAGCAUGCACCAGUUGACUGUAUAGAUACGUUGGUAUUGACAGUAGGUUUGGAAAAAGAGAAAAACAACUUGUUACCAUGAUUAUGGUAUUUAAAGUCUAAUAAAUUAUUGAAAAUGUUGAGGACAAAAAGGUCACACGUCUUAUAUCAUCUGGGCAAAUAAAAUCAGAGAGGAAUGUCAGAAUCCAGCUGACAACUCUCACGAUGCAUUUCCCUAUCGCUUCAACUCACACAUUCUCAAAGUUUCCCUUUCGACAUCCUUUUGGUCAGACAAGCAAGCAGCGUGACAUAUCCUAUGGCAUAAUCAGCAAAGUGUACCCACAUCAGUCCCAUUUUUGAUUGAAACAAAAAUAUCAACAUGAAUAUUUAGAACCAAAAUCCUUCUAAAUCGAACCCGGCUGGACAAAUGUAAGGAAUCCAUUUAUACAUUUCUUCUUUAACUUUCCCCCUUUACCAACUUUAACUUUCACCAGAGUGUGAGUGGCCCAUAGGAGGCCUCACUCUAUUUGAGCCAGGGGUCGGUCUGUCUGUCUUCUUUGAGCCAGGGGUCGGUCGGUCUGUCUGUCUUCUUUGAGCCAGGGGUCGGUCUGUCUUCUUUGAGCCAGGGGUCGGUCUGUCUGUCUGUCUUCUUUGAGCCAGGGGUCGGUCUGUCUGUCUGUCUGUAUUCUUUGAGCCAGGGGUCUGUCUGUCUUCUUUGAGCCAGGGGUCUGUCUGUAUUCUUUGAGCCAGGGGUCUGUCUGUCUGUCUGUCUUCUUUGAGCCAGGGGUCUGUCUGUCUUCUUUGAGCCAGGGGUCUCUGGGUCUGUCUGUCUGUAUUCUUUGAGCCAGGGGUCGGUCUGUCUGUCUUCUUUGAGCCAGGGGUCUGUCUGUCUUCUUUGAGCCAGGGGUCGGUCUGUCUGUCUGUCUUCUUUGAGCCAGGGGUCUGUCUGUCUUCUUUGAGCCAGGGGUCUGUCUGUAUUCUUUGAGCCAGGGGUCGGUCUGUCUGUCUGUCUUCUUUGAGCCAGGGGUCUGUCUGUCUUCUUUGAGCCAGGGGUCGUGUCUGUCUGUCUGUAUUCUUUGAGCCAGGGGUCUGUCUGUCUGUCUGUAUUCUUUGAGCCAGGGGUCUGUCUGUAUUCUUUGAGCCAGGGGUCUGUCUGUAUUCUUUGAGCCAGGGGUCGGUCGGUCUGUCUGUCUUCUUUGAGCCAGGGGUCUGUCUGUCUUCUUUGAGCCAGGGGUCUGUCUGUAUUCUUUGAGCCAGGGGUCUGUCUGUAUUCUUUGAGCCAGGGGUCUGUCUGUCUGUCUGUAUUCUUUGAGCCAGGGGUCGGUCGGUCUGUCUUCUUUGAGCCAGGGGUCUGUCUGUAUUCUUUGAGCCAGGGGUCUGUCUGUCUGUCUGUCUGUCUGUCUGUCUGUAUUCUUUGAGCCAGGGGUCUGUCUGUCUUCUUUGAGCCAGGGGUGUGUCUGUCUUUGAGCCAGGGGUCUGUCUGUCUUUGAGCCAGGGGUCUGUCUGUCUUUGAGCCAGGGGUCUGUCUGUCUUUGAGCCAGGGGUCUGUCUGUCUUUGAGCCAGGGGUCUGUCUGUCUUUGAGCCAGGGGUCUGUCUGUCUUCUUUGAGCCAGGGGUCUGUCUGUCUUUGAGCCAGGGGUCUGUCUGUCUUUGAGCCAGGGCCGGUCUCUGUAUCAGAGUGUCUCACUGAGAGGUUUCUUUCAGUUGAACUCACUCAUCUUGGAUAUAGGUUUGAUUGCACUAGAUGUCCAUCCAGUGUUCUGACAGACAGUCAGUUUGGGUUUAAACAGGAAGACGCUAGACUCCGCCCUUCCUCAGCAGACAGACAGCAGAUUUUUAAUGACACAAUUACAACAAGAUUUCCUGCAUGUGUUAAUUGGGUUGGUCGGGUUAUUUGGGUUGGUCGGGCUAUUUGGGUUGGUCGGGCUAUUUGGGUUAGAUAGGUUGGUUGGGUUGGUUGUGUCCCAAAAAACUGAUUUUCAAAAACUGUUAUUUUAUUUGUACUCACCAUUUGAACAAUAAUUAAUUCCUCUGUGUUCAAAAUGUAAAUCUAUAACCUAUGGGAUUCAGACAACCAGAAUAUUAAAAAGAGCAACAUUAAGUGAGGGGCUUCAUGUUCCUUUGGGGAGCACAUGAACAUCACACAUUGAGUCUAUGGUCUGGAACAAGCAGUAAACGUUUGACUUGGUGAAGUGCUGGGGAAAAACAGACACGUCAUCCCAGACAUGCCUCUUUUGUGAUAAAAUGCACAGAAAAAUAAUUGGCCAUGCACAGAAAGUGUUGCUAACAGUUUCACCAACCACUGCCCCAGUUAUUGUCCCUUUGUCCACAUCCAGCACAAUGCUCCAAUCUCAAAAGGGGAGCAAAAAUGUGCUGCGUCAACUAGCAUAAAAUUCAGUCUGUGUGAGACUUGGCUUUUGGUGUGAGUUAGUUGACCCCUGAAACAGUCAGGUACUAAUCCAAUUGUGCACUACAAAGGGGACAGUGGUUCAAUGGGUUUCCCCUAACCAUUACAUCAACCAUCCCUCUUGCUUCUUAGUCAGUCUUUCCAUUAUCUCGUGUCUCCACUUUGUGCCGUCGGGCCGAGCACAUGACCUUGUAGCAGCCGCGGGCGAUCUUAUGCAUCCACAUGACGUUCAUGACAUCCAGCGAGACGCUGGAGAUGAUCCAGGCAGCGCGGCCUUCCGGCGGGACGCGGUAAAAGGCUUCGGUGCCGUACACAGACCACAUGCGGCUGUAGUAGAGGGGCAUGACGGCGAUGCGAACCAGGAAGAAGACCAGGGCCAUUGCCAUCCCGUUAGCGAUGUUGGGCUUGGAGGACUUGGGGUAACCUAACACUUCAAAGAACCAGCUGGAAGAAAGACACAGUCAGUACAGUGAUGUAAAGAAAGGCACAGUCAGUACAGUGAUGUAAAGUCACAGUCAGAACAACGAUGUAAAGUCACAGUCAGAACAACGAUGUAAAGAAAGUCACAGUCAGAACGAUGUAAAGAAAGGCACAGUCAGAACAACGAUGUAAAGAAAGACACAGUCAGAACAACGAUGUAAAGAAAGACACAGUCAGAACAACGAUGUAAAGAAAGUCACAGUCAGAACAACGAUGUAAAGAAAGUCACAGUCAGAACAACGAUGUAAAGAAAGUCACAGUCAGAACAACGAUGUAAAGAAAGGCACAGUCAGAACAACGAUGUAAAGAAAGUCACAGUCAGAACAACAAUGUAAAGAAAGACACAGUCAGAACAACGAUGUAAAGAAAGUCACAGUCAGAACAACGAUGUAAAGAAAGACACAGUCAGAACAACGAUGUAAAGAAAGUC
Molecule: long non-coding RNA, 6628 nt
Filed under: Salmo salar (Atlantic salmon)
Lineage: Eukaryota; Metazoa; Chordata; Actinopteri; Salmoniformes; Salmonidae
Description: lncRNA (ENSSSAG00000118931.1)
Source: RNAcentral